Molecule: small RNA, 100 nt
Filed under: Epilithonimonas xixisoli
Lineage: Bacteria; Pseudomonadati; Bacteroidota; Flavobacteriia; Flavobacteriales; Weeksellaceae
Description: Chryseobacterium xixisoli Flavo-1 RNA
Rfam family: Flavo-1 RNA
Source: RNAcentral
CUGUAUCCCGCGAUAGGGAUGGUAGCGGAUAUCCUUUUUUCGUUGCCUGAGCGUAGUCGAAGGCAAUGAAAAAAGAUAGUAGCGGACAGCCCGACCCGAG